Long non-coding RNA from Harpia harpyja (harpy eagle), 3026 nucleotides. RefSeq lists it as uncharacterized. Lineage: Eukaryota; Metazoa; Chordata; Aves; Accipitriformes; Accipitridae. The transcript is spliced from 3 exons. The record is from RefSeq and is a predicted model, not a curated record.
GUCUCCCUGCCUACAGACCUAACGUGUACCCUCCCAUCCUUUGCUCCAAGCCUUCAUUUUUGGACAUCAGCCUCAAUUUUCCUAGGAAAAACAAAUUUAACCUUUGAUUUAACCUUUCCGCAAGCUAUUUUUACUUCUAUCUCAAGCUUAUUUUAACCUCAGUAGCCAAUAAAUGCUUAAAGGUCAAACACCAUUCCUAAGAGCCGGGCUCCUUACCCCGGGGAGAAGGGCUGAGAUCACCGAUUUUUUUUCCCCCAGGCAAAAUCCCCUCUUAGAAAUGUCCCAGCGGUAGGAGGGUCUAGGCUCAAACCCGCAAGUAAACAAUUUUCACUGUGGGUGCUGAAAGAAGGAGCUGGGAAUUUUCCCUGUGCAUGCCAUCCUUCCCACUCAAAAAGCGCUCAGGAUGUACAGGUCCAUUUGGUGGCAUUGCCAAGACUGGAAAACACUGCUCCGAUGCGACCAGGACCCACCACGUGAACUGCCUCUCUAUUACUGCUGAAGCACGAUAGCUGGAGGUGCGAGGCUCAUCGCGACACGGGAGGAGCAGAUGAGGAGAACCCGCUGCCUCUGGCGGAUCGACAACAGUUGGCACAGCCAGAUGACCUCGUUCAGAAAAUGCACUGGAGAAAAGAAAUCUUAACUUGCAGAGGGAAAACAGUACCAAGUAAGACUGAGGCUGGCCCUAUGUCUUAUCUGCAAGUCUGCUGAAGCCUUUAAAGAAGAAAAGCAAGAAGAAAAGCACCAGGAACUGCAAUGGAGGAGCAUCAAUAAUCCCAUGGAGCAGAGGCCCAUGCCAGAGAUCACAUCAGCCACAGUCCAGAAAAUGUAUCUGCCAUCUUGACACUUCUUCCAGCCAAGGCCCUUACAAAGUUUCAAUAACCACUGCUAUCAAGACAAGUUCAGACCAGUGCUUUCUGUUGAUACAAGAAAAAAAUUUGGAAAUUUAGUUUCCAGCACUGAACUCCCUUAAUUCAGUACCAUGUAUAUAGAUAUUAUACACAGAGAAAGUUAAAAUGUAGUAAUACAGAGCUAUCAAGUUGACAAUAGCUAAGGGAGAACCUGAGCUUUGAAAGAAAACUAUUAGCAAUAUCAGAUUUGCAAGUUCAGCUAUGGGAAGGACCACAAAGUCUGAGCACAUGCUAUAUAUCUUCCUUUUAUUGACUGCUUUGUGGGGAGCUGCAUUUCUUGUUGAAGUUGAGAGCUGCAGACUGCACUCUGUGUUGAUUCUGAUUAUGGAGCGGCAGUAAUUAAACCUCUGGAGCAUUAAGUUACCAUUUUAACCAAAUGCCUGCAUUUUAUCUUGAUGGGAAAUUGAAAGCGAGAUUCAGAUUUUCACAGUAAAUAAAAACUGUUGGCUGUUUCACAGAUAAUCCAUUUCCUCAGUUUAUAUGAGAAAAAUCCUCCUGUACAGUUUCUUCUUCCCUUUUGCAAAUGCACACGCUCCUUGAGGAAGCUCAGCAUCAGCACUGCCAGCCUCUGCACACCUUUCAGCCUGUAAUACAAUAAUUAUAAUCAUAAUGUGGCUCCCUAAUAACACUCUUAAUCCAGGCACCAGUAUCCUUAUCUCCAUGUAAGAAAACAGAAGCACACAAAAUUUUGCUCCAGUGAUAUAAGUGACCAAGGCCAAAGUCAGGAGUAACCCAGCACCCAGGUUCCCAGUCUGUCCAUCAGCUAUAUCGACCACCUGGCUCUGAAGUACUGAUCUUAUCUACAAACAGAUAUGCAAGGUGCAAAUCUAGUUUAUUCUUAGUUCUGUGAUGACAGCCACAGGUCUGCGUCACUGCACACCUGUAGCUUCGGGAUUGGGCAAAUACAGCCAUUUCAGGUCACACAGAUACAAGCUAGCCAUCUAAUGGUGGUUCUUUUCUCUCUGUACAACGCUGAGCCCACUUGAAUGAGCAACCUAAACAGGUGAAUCCCUUAAAUCCACUAUUUUACUGCAAUUAACAGCAAUAUAUUGGCUGGAUUAAGACUGAGAUACUCAGCACUAGCAAAAGGCUGCAAGGCUGCAGCGUGUGCUGGCUCCGUUUUGUGCAGGCAGUGGCGUUAAGUGCUUUGGGAGAUCAGUUAUUCUGAUAAUAAAACAGUUGCUUGUGCAGACGAUUGGGCUCAGUCGCUUUCAAAGCACAGCCGUUGCCGCAAAGGCUUUCAUCCUUUGCUUUCGGAGUAAAGUGCAUCCUCCCUGCCCAGCGCAGCAACAAGUUUACCGCAAAAUACUUGCGGCAUUUGAUGCCUGCAGAGGCAGGUAUUACUCACCCGGUUGCUUCUUAUGCAAAUGUGCUACCCUCACUGGGAUAGCAGGGUGAGGAGUCUGAGUUGAGGGCUGCUGGAGAUGCCCAUCCUUGUGUGUCAUCCGAGUCCAAAGUAAAGACCAGCCGCAGGGCUCGUUUGGGGCCGGAGUUCUCAGCAGAUAGUCCUCCUGCAGAUCUGCGGGUUGACUUGCCACAUUAGAGCAUCGGGAGCUGCACGUUUCUGUGGGCACCAGAGUCUGAGGCUGCAUCACUUCAUCUUCAUCAUCGUCACUCCACCUCCAGCCAUUUGUUGAGUGGAAAUGAGAGCUGUCACAGCACAUAGGUGUACGUACACAGAGACUUCGGCAAAGCCUUGGGAGAGCUCCUGCCUGCACAGCUGCCUUGGAGAGAGCUGUCAGGAGGAGAUGCCUCAAGCACAGACCUGCUCGGUCCCCAGCAGACAUCCACGCAAGCCGAGACACGAGCCGGAGCAUCACCUCCCAGAGACCCUCCCCAGGAGAGUGACACUGGCAGCACUGCUCCUCGCUAUCCCACCCUGUCCGCAGUUCGGGAACUCCUCGUGGAAACCCAAGCAAACUCAGAGCCGAAGUUGUGGUGAAGGUUUCUCCAGAUAGAAAUGUGAUUGUUGCUGGUGUGGUUGAGAACUAAAAUCGAGUAAGAUGGCUUCCAAUUUGAAAAGGAUCACAAAGAAGUCACUUAUUGUGGAGAAAUCUGUGUUUGCUCUUGAAAGAGUAUGAUUUAUUCUAUUAUUCAUAUCUAAUAAAGGAAAUUAAA